RNAcentral lists this ribosomal RNA (253 nucleotides) under uncultured bacterium. RNAcentral describes it as "partial 16S ribosomal RNA". It matches the Rfam family "Bacterial small subunit ribosomal RNA", at positions 524 to 776 of the family's 1533-position model. The record is from RNAcentral.
UACAGAGGUCUCAAGCGUUGUUCGGAUUCAUUGGGCGUAAAGGGUGCGUAGGCGGCUCGGUAAGUCGGGUGUGAAAUCUCGGAGCUUAACUCCGAAACUGCAUUCGAUACUGCCUUGCUCGAGUACUGGAGAGGAGACUGGAAUUUACGGUGUAGCAGUGAAAUGCGUAGAUAUCGUAAGGAAGACCAGUGGCGAAGGCGAGUCUCUGGACAGUUACUGACGCUGAGGCACGAAGGCCAGGGGAGCAAACGGG